This 73-nucleotide transfer RNA is filed under the name Nitrososphaerota archaeon. RNAcentral's name for it is "tRNA-Gln". It matches the Rfam family "tRNA". Rfam says of the family: Transfer RNA (tRNA) molecules are approximately 80 nucleotides in length. Their secondary structure includes four short double-helical elements and three loops (D, anti-codon, and T loops). Lineage: Archaea; Thermoproteati; Nitrososphaerota. The record is from RNAcentral.
AGCCCGGUGGUGUAGAGGCCAAGCAUCUCAGCCCCUGGAGCUGGGGACGGCGGUUCGAAUCCGCCCCGGGCUA